RNAcentral lists this ribosomal RNA (472 nucleotides) under uncultured organism. Its description in RNAcentral is "partial 16S ribosomal RNA". It matches the Rfam family "Bacterial small subunit ribosomal RNA", at positions 333 to 797 of the family's 1533-position model. The record is from RNAcentral.
ACACUCCUGCGGGAGGCAGCAGUAGGGAAUCUUCCACAAUGGGUGCAAACCUGAUGGAGCAAUGCCGCGUGAGUGAAGAAGGUCUUCGGAUCGUAAAGCUCUGUUGUUAGAGAAGAACACGUGCUAGGUAACUACUAGCGCCUUGACGGUAUCUAACCAGAAAGUCACGGCUAACUACGUGCCAGCAGCCGCGGUAAUACGUAGGUGACAAGCGUUGUCCGGAUUUAUCGGGCGUAAAGGGAGCGCAGGCGGUCUGUUUAGUCUAAUGUGAAAGCCCACGGCUUAACCGUGGAACGGCAUUGGAAACUGACAGACUUGAAUGUAGAAGAGGAAAAUGGAAUUCCAAGUGUAGCGGUGGAAUGCGUAGAUAUUUGGAGGAACACCAGUGGCGAAGGCGAUUUUCUGGUCUAACAUUGACGCUGAGGCUCGAAAGCGUGGGGAGCGAACAGGAUUAGAAACCCUUGUAGUCCCA